UUUUCAAUGGAUUAUUUAAUUUGAUGAUAUUAGUUUGUUUGUUGUGUUGAGGCGGAGUUCCCGUGAACACGUCAUCCAAACAGAUAAAAACUGGGAUCAUCGUUGAUGAGUGGGUUAGGAAAUUAGAGAGAUGAGGGAUACCGUACACCUGAGUAGUAGGGGAUCAUGGGAUUGGGUUUCCUUUCUUUCCUUUUCUUUCCUUUCUCCUUAAAUCAAAUCUCAACUCAAUCCCCUCCUUCUCUGCUGCUGCUGCUGUCGUCGUCGUCGACUCGUCGUCGUCUUUGUGACUGACUGACUGACUGUACCACCACCCUCGGCAGAUGCAAUCCACAACUGGUGCUGCUUCUACUGCUACUGCUACUGCUAGUAGUCGUACCUCCGCUGGCGGCGCCGGCCUUGCUCGCUUCCGCUCUGCUCCUGCUGCCUGGUUGGAAGCUCUUUUGGAGGACGACGAGGAGGACCCUCUCAAGCCCAAUCCCUGCUUGACUCAGCUUCUCGCCGCCAACUCCUCCGACCUCGAUUCAGCUCCCGCGGAUCACCCCUUGUUCGACCCCAAUCCCUCUCCCGCCUUCCACAGGCAGAAUAGCUCCCCACCUGAGUUUCUUGCUCCCUCUGGAAUUGCUGAAGGAUUUUACACCUCCUAUCCUCUCAAUUCCUCCCCUACUCUCGACAUCUCUCCCACCUCCAAGCCAUCUACAGAUGUCGACGCCCAAAACUUCUUCCCCAAAUUUUCACCUCAACUGAAAAGGGAAGGAAGUGGAGUUUCCAGUUUGAUAGACAUGGAAAUGGAGAAGUUAUUGGAGGACUCUGUGCCCUGCCGGGUAAGAGCCAAGCGUGGCUGUGCGACGCAUCCUCGGAGCAUUGCUGAGAGGGUUCGUAGGACUAGAAUUAGUGACAGAAUAAGGAAGCUUCAGGAAGUUGUCCCCAACAUGGAUAAGAGAAGGGAAGGGAAGGGAAGGGAAGGGAAGGACAGGGGCAGUGAAUGAAGAUGUGCCUUUUAAGAUUCUUCAGCUUCUUAAUACUAACCAAACGAUCUAGACCUCAGCUACAUGCAUUAUGCCAAUCGGCCCACCAAUGGGGGAGCAACUUAAGAUUGAACGUGUGAGGGUGAGCAAACAAACACUGCAGAUAUGUUAGAAGAAGCAGUAGAGUAUGUCAAAUUCCUUCAAAAGCAAAUCCAGGAACUUACGGAGCAUCAGCGCAGGUGUAAAUGCAUGGUGAAAGAAUAACAGGUUGAAGGAAGAAUACUACUCCAGCCUGCAGAAAUCGCCCUUCCACGAUUAGUGUAAAUUAGUAGGAUUUCUGGGGACUUGAAAGGUCGUAAAAAGUAAAUGAAGGUGUUUUAGCUAUAAUAUUGUUAUCUCUUUGGUUCUAAAGAAAAUAUCAACCUUGUAAUGCAUGCAUUCAAUAUAUAUUGCAUUCGUACGCAAUAAGCAGGUGUAACAAAAUGUUGGGGGACUCUUUUUUUUUUUUUUUUGGGAAAAAGAAAUUGUUGAAUAGUCCAUUAGAACAUUAGGUCUCUAAUUUAAGGUACUUGUUCUGUGUAAUUGUAUUUUCAACAUCCAUCCAAUAUUAUCAGGAGAAAGCUUUAGGAAUCGAAAUCACAGAUCAAUUUUUUCGUUUC
RNA transcript from Cucumis sativus (cucumber), 1624 nucleotides. It is a transcript of the gene named transcription factor bHLH81, with no coding region annotated. NCBI's taxonomy places the organism in Eukaryota, Viridiplantae, Streptophyta, Magnoliopsida, Cucurbitales, Cucurbitaceae. The record is from RefSeq and is a predicted model, not a curated record. The transcript is spliced from 6 exons.